RNAcentral lists this microRNA precursor (125 nucleotides) under Gossypium hirsutum (cotton). RNAcentral describes it as "MIR7504 microRNA precursor family". It matches the Rfam family "MIR7504 microRNA precursor family". The record is from Rfam by way of RNAcentral. Lineage: Eukaryota; Viridiplantae; Streptophyta; Magnoliopsida; Malvales; Malvaceae.
AAUAGGAAAAUGACAAAUUGAAUUUUUUCUCCUGAUUUUUAAUUUUUUCCUCCUCAAAAAUUUCAAAUCCAACUAAAAAUACUAAAAAUCAGGAGAAAAAAAAUCUUAUUUAUCAUUUUUCUAUU